Pelobates cultripes (western spadefoot toad) is the source of this 132-nucleotide non-coding RNA. NCBI's taxonomy places the organism in Eukaryota, Metazoa, Chordata, Amphibia, Anura, Pelobatidae. The record is from the annotation of a GenBank genome assembly.
CGGCGAACUCCGGUCAGCUGACACAUCCCUGCCAAUCUCCGGCAGACCCUCCCUCCCAGAUCCUCCUACUUCCUGGACAGCAUCCAUGUUGAAGGUCUGCCGGAGAUUGGCAGGGAUGUGUCAGCUGACCGG